This is a non-coding RNA of Flavobacterium fryxellicola, 143 nucleotides long. The record is from Rfam. Lineage: Bacteria; Pseudomonadati; Bacteroidota; Flavobacteriia; Flavobacteriales; Flavobacteriaceae.
CCCUAGCCGCGACAGCAGUGAAAAUCCUCUUGACCAAAACCCUAUUUUUUCUUGGCAUUAAAGAGCGACCGCAGGAAGCUCCUUUUAUGACUUAGAAAAAAAGGGUUGUGGUUAAGAGAUUGCAACGUAUGGCGGGAAAUAGC